AGGCAAUUCAGCAGUGUGACUGGAAGGGGUAGAGCCUGGCUCCAGCUCUCCUAGACCCCAUUUAAGGGCUGACUGCCACUAGAGAAGGAUCUCUCUCUCUGGAGAUUGCUCCUCUUGGAGUUUUUCCUGUGAGUCUGUAAAAUGGAGGUGCUUUCAUCCACUUGGUACACUUUUCCAUCGCUUGAAUGUGGCACGGCCAACUCAAAAGAACUCUGCCCAGACUUAAAAUUUGCAGCUUGAUUCUGAUACGGAGGAAUGGAUAAGCUUGAAGGCAGUGGCAGAGUCAUCUGGUAGUAAGGAAACUGCUGACCCACUGGACUGUGAACUGUGAAUUGCUGUUCUAAAAAAUGGUUCAUCUAGAGAAAUACAAACUUGAGUUGUUAAUACCGUUAAGAGAAACUUCUGAAGAGUUUUAUUUCACAUGCAUUACAGCUUUUACCCUGAAUAGCAAAGUUGUAUAAAAUAGCAAGGUUUAAAAGUAAAGCUUAUUAUUU
This 494-nucleotide long non-coding RNA is filed under the name Gallus gallus (chicken). The record is from RNAcentral. Lineage: Eukaryota; Metazoa; Chordata; Aves; Galliformes; Phasianidae.